RNAcentral lists this ribosomal RNA (305 nucleotides) under uncultured bacterium. Its description in RNAcentral is "partial 16S ribosomal RNA". It matches the Rfam family "Bacterial small subunit ribosomal RNA", at positions 505 to 807 of the family's 1533-position model. The record is from RNAcentral.
ACAGCAGCAGCCGCGGUAAUACGUAGGGUGCGAGCGUUAAUCGGAAUUACUGGGCGUAAAGCGUGCGCAGGCGGUUCGUUAAGACAGAUGUGAAAUCCCCGGGCUUAACCUGGGAACUGCAUUUGUGACUGGCGAGCUAGAGUAUGGCAGAGGGGGGUAGAAUUCCACGUGUAGCAGUGAAAUGCGUAGAGAUGUGGAGGAAUACCGAUGGCGAAGGCAGCCCCCUGGGCCAAUACUGACGCUCAUGCACGAAAGCGUGGGGAGCAAACAGGAUUAGAUACCCCUGUAGUCCCUGUCUCUUAUAC